This 420-nucleotide ribosomal RNA is filed under the name Fusobacteriota bacterium. RNAcentral's name for it is "Fusobacteria bacterium partial 16S ribosomal RNA". It matches the Rfam family "Bacterial small subunit ribosomal RNA", at positions 355 to 776 of the family's 1533-position model. Lineage: Bacteria; Fusobacteriati; Fusobacteriota. The record is from RNAcentral.
UGGGGGAUAUUGCACAAUGGGCGAAAGCCUGAUGCAGCGACGCCGCGUGGGGGAUGAAGGCUUUCGGGUUUUAAACCUCUUUCGCUAUCGAACAAGGCCCGCUUAGGGUGGGUUGAGGGUAGGUGGAGAAGAAGCGCCGGCUAACUACGUGCCAGCAGCCGCGGUAAUACGUAGGGCGCGAGCGUUGUCCGGAAUUAUUGGGCGUAAAGGGCUUGUAGGCGGCUUGUUGCGCCUGCUGUGAAAACGCGGGGCUUAACUUCGCGCGUGCAGUGGGUACGGGCAGGCUUGAGUGUGGUAGGGGGGACUGGAAUUCCAGGUGUAGCGGUGGAAUGCGCAGAUAUCUGGAGGAACACCGAUGGCGAAGGCAGGUCACUGGGCCAUUACUGACGCUGAGGAGCGAAAGCAUGGGUAGCGAACAGG